Molecule: unclassified non-coding RNA, 323 nt
Filed under: uncultured Aspergillus
Lineage: Eukaryota; Fungi; Ascomycota; Eurotiomycetes; Eurotiales; Aspergillaceae
Description: sequence contains ITS1
Rfam family: 5.8S ribosomal RNA (bases 1-105)
Source: RNAcentral
GAAAUGCGAUACGUAAUGUGAAUUGCAGAAUUCAGUGGAUCAUCGAGUCUUUGAACGCACAUUGCGCCCCCUGGUAUUCCGGGGGGCAUGCCUGUCCGAGCGUCAUUGCUGCCCUCAAGCACGGCUUGUGUGUUGGGCCCCCGUCUCCCCUCCAAAGGGGACGGGCCCGAAAGGCAGCGGCGGCACCGUGUCCGGUACUCGAGCGUAUGGCAAGCAACUUUUUGUCACCCGCUCCUGUAGGUCCGGCCGGCGGCCUGCCCACCCCCAAUCCAUCUUUUAACCAGGUUGACCUCGGAUCAGGUAGGGAUACCCGCUGAACUUAA